RNAcentral lists this ribosomal RNA (1319 nucleotides) under Myathropa semenovi. RNAcentral's name for it is "16S ribosomal RNA". Lineage: Eukaryota; Metazoa; Arthropoda; Insecta; Diptera; Syrphidae. The record is from RNAcentral.
AAUUAAUUUUUUUUUUGAUAAAAUUUAAAUAUUAAAAAUAAUUAUAAUAUAAAAAGUUUAAGUAUUUUAUAAAGAAAAAAUAAUUUUAAUAAUAGUUUAUUAGUAUUGUGAAAUAAAAUUGAAAUAUAAUGAAAAAUUUUUAUUGUAAAAGAAAAUUUUAUUUAUUGUAUCUUGUGUAUCAGAGUAUAUUAAAUAAAAAAUAUUUAUAUAUUUUUCUCGAUUUUAAAAGAUUUAAUAAAUUAUAAAUGUUAAUGUGAUAAAAUUAUAUUUAAUAAUUUAUUAGAAAUGAAAUGUUAUUCGUUUUUAAAGGUAUCUAGUUUUUUAAGAAAUAAAUUUAAUUUAGUAUUUAAAAUUUAUUUAUUUAUUUUAAUAAUUAAAUAAUUUUUAAAUAUAAAUAUUUUAUGGGAUAAGCUAUAAAAUAAAUUUUUAUAAAUAAUGAAUAAUAUUUAAAAUUUUAUAUGUUUAAAAGUAUCAAUUUUUAUUAAGUUUGUUAUAAAUUAAUUUUAUUUAUAAAUUAUUUAUUAUAUUUUAAGUUUUUAUUAAAAUAUUUAUUUUAAUAUUAAAAAUAAAGAAAUAAUGAUAUAAUUAGUAUAUUAAUUUUGUAAUAAUAAAUUUAUAAAUGAAAAGUUUAUGUAAAGAAUUCGGCAAAAAUAAUGUUCGCCUGUUUAACAAAAACAUGUCUUUUAGAAAUUAAUUUAAAGUCUGACCUGCCCACUGAUUUUUUAAAUGGCCGCAGUAUAUUAACUGUGCAAAGGUAGCAUAAUCAUUAGUCUUUUAAUUGAAGGCUGGAAUGAAUGGUUGGACGAAAUAUUAACUGUUUCAUUUAAAUUUGUAAUAAAAUUUUAUUUUUUAGUUAAAAAGCUAAAAUAUAAUUAAAAGACGAGAAGACCCUAUGAAUCUUUAUAUAAGUUAUAUUUUAAUUUUAUAGAUGAUUUUAAUUAUAAUAUGUUUUUAUAUUUUAUUGGGGUGAUAUUAAAAUUUAAAAAACUUUUAAGUUUUAAAUCAUUAAUUUAUGAAUAAAUGAUCCAUUUUUAAUGAUUAAAAAUUUAAGUUACUCUAGGGAUAACAGCGUAAUUUUUUUGGAGAGUUCAUAUCGAUAAAAAAGAUUGCGACCUCGAUGUUGGAUUAAGAGAUAAUUUUAGGUGUAGCCGUUUAAAUUUAAAGUCUGUUCGACUUUUAAAAUCUUACAUGAUCUGAGUUCAAACCGGCGUGAGCCAGGUUGGUUUCUAUCUUUAAUAAAUUAAUAUAUUUUAGUACGAAAGGAUUGAAUAUAUAAAUAAUUUUAUUUUAAAUUAAAGAAUAUAAAUAAUUAUUUAUAA